UACGUAGGGGGCAAGCGUUGUCCGGAAUCAUUGGGCGUAAAGCGCGCGUAGGCGGCCCUGUAAGUCCGUUGUGAAAGUCGAAGGCUCAACCUUCGAAAGCCGAUGGAUACUGCAGGGCUAGAGUCCGGAAGAGGCGAGUGGAAUUCCUGGUGUAGCGGUGGAAUGCGCAGAUAUCAGGAGGAACACCUAUUGCGAAGGCAGCUCGCUGGGACGUGACUGACGCUGAGACGCGAAAGCGUGGGGAGCGAACAGG
RNAcentral lists this ribosomal RNA (253 nucleotides) under uncultured bacterium. RNAcentral's name for it is "partial 16S ribosomal RNA". It matches the Rfam family "Bacterial small subunit ribosomal RNA", at positions 524 to 776 of the family's 1533-position model. The record is from RNAcentral.